This 494-nucleotide ribosomal RNA is filed under the name uncultured bacterium. Its description in RNAcentral is "bacterial SSU rRNA". It matches the Rfam family "Bacterial small subunit ribosomal RNA", at positions 9 to 507 of the family's 1533-position model. The record is from RNAcentral.
GAGUUUGUCAUGGCUCAGGAUGAACGCUAGCGGCAGGCCUAAUACAUGCAAGUCGAACGCUCAGUAGCAAUACUGGGAGUGGCGCACGGGUGCGUAACGCGUACACAAUCUACCUCUAAGCGGGGGACACCUCCUGGAAACGGGGAUUAAUACCGCAUAAUAUGCCGAAGUCGCAUGACUUUGGUAUUAAAGCAGCAAUGCACUUAGAGAUGAGUGUGCGUCCCAUUAGGUAGUUGGUGAGGUAACGGCUCACCAAGCCUAUGAUGGGUAGCCGGUCUGAGAGGAUGGUCGGCCACACGGGCACUGAGACACGGGCCCGACUCCUACGGGAGGCAGCAGUAAGGAAUAUUGGUCAAUGGUGGAAACACUGAACCAGCCAUGCCGCGUGGAGGAAUAAGGUCCUACGGAUUGUAAACUCCUUUUGACGAGGAAGAAAAUGUUAGAUUUAUCUAAUUUUGACGGUACUCGUAGAAUAAGCACCGGCUAACUCCGUG